CCUACGGGAGGCAGCAGUGAGGAAUAUUGGUCAAUGGACGAGAGUCUGAACCAGCCAAGUAGCGUGAAGGAUGACUGCCCUCUGGGUUGUAAACUUCUUUUAUAUGGGAAUAAAACGUUUCACGUGUGGGAUUUUGUAUGUACCAUAUGAAUAAGGAUCGGCUAACUCCGUGCCAGCAGCCGCGGUAAUACGGAGGAUACGAGCGUUAUCCGGAUUUAUUGGGUUUAAAGGGAGCGUAGGUGGAUUGUUAAGUCAGUUGUGAAAGUUUGCGGCUCAACCGGAAAAUUGCAGAUGAAACUGGCAGUCUUGAGUACAGUAGAGGUGGGCGGAAUUCGAGGUGUAGCGGUGAAAUGCUUAGAUAUCACGAAGAACUCCGAUUGCGAAGGCAGUUCACUGGACUGCAACUGACACUGAAGCACGAAAGCGUGGGUAUCGAACAGGAUUAGAUACCCGAGUAGUC
RNAcentral lists this ribosomal RNA (460 nucleotides) under uncultured bacterium. RNAcentral describes it as "partial 16S ribosomal RNA". It matches the Rfam family "Bacterial small subunit ribosomal RNA", at positions 338 to 795 of the family's 1533-position model. The record is from RNAcentral.